RNAcentral lists this ribosomal RNA (253 nucleotides) under uncultured bacterium. Its description in RNAcentral is "partial 16S ribosomal RNA". It matches the Rfam family "Bacterial small subunit ribosomal RNA", at positions 524 to 776 of the family's 1533-position model. The record is from RNAcentral.
UACGAAGGGAGCUAGCGUUACUCGGAAUCACUGGGCGUAAAGCGCAUGUAGGCGGAAGCACAAGUCAGAGGUGAAAUCCCAGGGCUUAACCCUGGAACUGCCUUUGAAACUGUGUUUCUUGAGUAUGGUAGAGGAUGGUGGAAUUUCUAGUGUAGAGGUGAAAUUCGUAGAUAUUAGAAAGAACACCGGUGGCGAAGGCGACCAUCUGGGCCAUUACUGACGCUGAGAUGCGAAAGCGUGGGGAGCGAACGGG